GACGAACGCUGGCGGCGUGCCUAAUACAUGCAAGUAGAACGCUGAAGGAGGAGCUUGCUCUUCUGGAUGAGUUGCGAACGGGUGAGUAACGCGUAGGUAACCUGCCUGGUAGCGGGGGAUAACUAUUGGAAACGAUAGCUAAUACCGCAUAACAGUAGAUGUUGCAUGACAUUUACUUAAAAGGUGCAAUUGCAUCACUACCAGAUGGACCUGCGUUGUAUUAGCUAGUUGGUGGGGUAACGGCUCACCAAGGCGACGAUACAUAGCCGACCUGAGAGGGUGAUCGGCCACACUGGGACUGAGACACGGCCCAGACUCCUACGGGAGGCAGCAGUAGGGAAUCUUCGGCAAUGGACGGAAGUCUGACCGAGCAACGCCGCGUGAGUGAAGAAGGUUUUCGGAUCGUAAAGCUCUGUUGUAAGAGAAGAACGAGUGUGGGAGUGGAAAGUUCACACUGUGGCGGUAUCUUACCAGAAAGGGACGGCUAACUACGUG
RNAcentral lists this ribosomal RNA (495 nucleotides) under uncultured bacterium. Its description in RNAcentral is "partial 16S ribosomal RNA". It matches the Rfam family "Bacterial small subunit ribosomal RNA", at positions 28 to 507 of the family's 1533-position model. The record is from RNAcentral.